AACCAGAGGUCUUAUUAUUAUUUAGAUAUGGCGAGAUGAGGGGAAGUAGUAGUAUUUAUAUUCACAGACCUCAAGAAGAUGCAAGCCACACGUGGGGCCAAAAUGGGAAGCAUUAGGGUUGGUCAGGAGGCAGAAGAAAAUGGGAAAUUAUGGGCAAGAGGCUUUAUUGUGGUUUCUGUGGGAAGGAAUAGACAAGGAAAGAUAAACAGAUUUAGGAUUGGCUAGUUCUAAUAAUCUUAGUGGGCCCUGGGGCACAACGGUGUCUCUAGUUUGUUGGUACCUGGGUGUGGGAUGAUUCAGACAGGUUACUAGGGAUCUGGAGUGUGAGAGCCUGAUAAAGGAGAUGGUUGGGGGUGUGGGUACCCUCAAAUCUGAUUGGCUAAUUAGAUUGGUUGAUUGAAUUGGUUGGUUUGCCUUUGGAAGUUGCACUUGGGGGUGAGUGGUUUACUGUCUCCAGGAGUCAGUUGACUGUAUCCCAGAUGUCAAAGCAUCAGGAUGCAGGAAAUGAAAGACCUGGUUGAUAUAGUCGUGGGUUGGGGAGUGAGUCAGAAAAGACUGAGGAUGUAAACCUUGUAUGUCAGGAGCUACCCGUGGCUCCCUCCUCUCUCAAGGGUGGUUGGAGGUGGGGAGGCAGGUUGCUGGUUUCCAAAGCGUUUCCCAUGAAGCCAGGACCUGCUUGCUGGUGAGAUCUUGCUCAUGCCUGUCUCCUGGGCAGCAUCUGGCAAAGACGCUCCUGAGUGUGGGCUCUGGGGCUGGCUGGGCUUUCAGGCUCAUUCUCAGGGUUUUGGCUUGGCUGAGCUAAGCUCUUCUCAGUUUGCAUGAAGUCAGAGGUGGGCCAGAAAGAGCUGUCUGAAUGGUGAGAAUAGCCCCCCUGGGUCCUGACUCAGUUUCCAGUAAAGGGAAAAGGAAUUAGUAGUUUUUUGGCAGGUACUGCUCUGCCUAGGGAUAAACAAGACUCAUCCUUGUGGAAUGUGAGCAGAAUCAGCAUUUUUUUUUUUUUUUUUAAAUUGGCUUUUGGGGAAAACAAAAAAUACAGGCAGAGAUCCCACAGCUGUCUGAGGCCACCUCCACUUCAACUUCCUACAGCCAGGACCCCAUCUUGGGCAAAUCUGCCUUGUAAGUAAGCUGUUGCCUCCUGAUCUGCAAGCUCAUAAUAUCUUGGCUCCUUCUGAAGAAGCUGACAAUUACCCAAUACUCCUUGCCAGCUGGCUUCAGCCAAUAAAAUUGCAGCAUGCAAAUACAGCAUCCUGCAGCUACUCUCUCCAUCAGACCACUCCAAAGUAGGAGGGAUUUCCUCUAAGAGGGGAAAUUUGACUCUUAAAUGGAGAAAAGGAAAAAAAAAAUUGGAAGGAUUUUCUUUAUGUUGGAGACAUUUCUGCUGCUCAUUAGCAAGAAGAAAAGGAGGAGAAUGUCAAUGGGUAUUCUUUUUUCCAGUGCGCCUUGUGUGGGAAAGCAUGUAUUUCAUCUUCUCUGGUGAGAGCAUGAGGUGCAGUCCAGGAGUCCACGUGAUGUUCUCUCUCCUGGAAUGGGGAUGUCUGGCCCGUGCCUGUCCCACCAUAGCAUUCUGGAAGCAUACUGCUUGGUUGGCUUCACAGUUUCCCAACUGAAGAGGAAUUUGUUUGGGGAUGAAUGUACCUGGAGUCUCAUCCACAUCUGACUUAGAUGAUCUUGAGCAAAGUGACCAGUUAUGCAUUCGGAGCCCUCUUUCUACAGGACCUUUAUAUGAAGAGACACAGAGCUUGCUUUCUCUCUCUGCCAUGUGGAUUCAAUGAGAAAACGGCUGCCUGGGAACCAGGAUGAGGGCUCUCCCCAGACCUGGGAUUUGCCAAUACCUCGAUCUUGGACUUCCAGCUUCUAGAACUGUGCGAAAUAAAAGUCUGUUGUUUGGGUCCUUCUAAUACACAGUA
Molecule: non-coding RNA, 1907 nt
Organism: Sus scrofa (pig)
Lineage: Eukaryota; Metazoa; Chordata; Mammalia; Artiodactyla; Suidae
Source: RefSeq, a predicted model, not a curated record